Molecule: ribosomal RNA, 531 nt
Filed under: uncultured bacterium
Lineage: Bacteria
Description: bacterial SSU rRNA
Rfam family: Bacterial small subunit ribosomal RNA
Source: RNAcentral
UCUUGACAUCCAGAGAACUUGGCAGAGAUGCCUCGGUGCCUUCGGGAACUCUGAGACAGGUGCUGCAUGGCUGUCGUCAGCUCGUGUUGUGAAAUGUUCGGGUUAAGUCCCGCAACGAGCGCAACCCCUAUCCUUUGUUGCCAGCGAUUCGGUCGGGAACUCAAAGGAGACUGCCGGUGAUAAACCGGAGGAAGGUGGGGAUGACGUCAAGUCAUCAUGGCCCUUACGAGUAGGGCUACACACGUGCUACAAUGGCGUAUACAAAGAGAAGCGACCUCGCGAGAGCAAGCGGACCUCAUAAAGUACGUCGUAGUCCGGAUUGGAGUCUGCAACUCGACUCCAUGAAGUCGGAAUCGCUAGUAAUCGUAGAUCAGAAUGCUACGGUGAAUACGUUCCCGGGCCUUGUACACACCGCCCGUCACACCAUGGGAGUGGGUUGCAAAAGAAGUAGAUAGCUUAACCUUCGGGAGGGCGUUUACCACUUUGUGAUUCAUGACUGGGGUGAAGUCGUAACAAGGUAGGCGUACGUGU